AUGCAGAUAGUGGAUGCCUUGGCAACACAUGCCGAAGAAGGACGCACUAGACGGCGAAACUCGCCGGGGAGCUGUCAAGAAGCUUUGAUCCGGUGGUGUCCGAAUGGGGAAACCCGGCCCAGGUUAUUCUGGGUCAUCCGUGGCUUUUGUCACGGAAGGGUACGCGCAGAACUGAAAUAUCUAAGUACGCGCUGGAAAAGACAUCGAAAGAGAUUCCCUGAGUAAGCGACGAGCGAAAAGGGAACAGCCUAAACCCAUCGUAAGAUGGGGGUUGCAGGAGCCCAAUAUUGGAUUGUAUCUGUUGAAUAGAACGCUAUGGAAUGAGCGACCAAAGAACGUGACAGUCGUGUAUAUGAAAAACAGAUGCACCAUAGGGAUUUCCUAAGUACUUUCGGAGACGGCAAACUCCGGGAAGAAUCUGGGGCGACCACGCUCCAAGGCUAAAUACAUGUGUUGACCGAUAGCGAACGAGUACCGUGAGGGAAAGGUGAAAAGAAGGGUCGAAGACCCCGUGAAAUAGAAACUGAAACUAUCUGCUAACAAGCAGACAGAGUCCGCAAGGAUGAUGUCGUGCCUAUUGAAGAAUGAACCGGCGAGUUAUGGUCUGUUCCAAGUGUAAGCCGUUGAAACGGCGGACGCGCAGUGAAAGCGAGCCUGAAUAGGGCGCCAAGGAACACACUAUAGACCCGAAACCAGGUGAGCUACCCAUGAUCAGGUUGAACGUACGGUAAAACGUGCGGGAGGACCGAACCGUUCAGAGUUGCAAGUCUGUCGGAUGAAUUGUGGGUAGAGGUUAUAUGCCUAUCGAACCUGGAGAUAGCUGGUUCUCCCCGAAAUAUAUUUAGGUAUAGGCUCAUGAUUAGGCUGAUGGGGGUAGAGUACUGGAUGAAUUUUUUGGUCGCAAGAUCAAAAAUUUAACCAAACUCCGAAUACCGUCAGUUCGUGCAUGGGACUCAGUAUGGCGGAGCUAAGUUCGCCAGGCGAGAGGGAAACAUCCCAGACUUUCGUCUAAGGUCUCUAAAUAUUCCUCAGUGGGAAAGAUAGUCUUGGUCCCCAAACACCUAGGAGGUCGGCUCAGAAGCAGCCAUCCUUGAAAGAAAGCGUAACAGCUCACUAGCCGAGGAUCAGGGCGUCGAAAACGUAUCGAGGCUUAAGGAAUAUACCGAAGACAAAGAUUUAUAUAUUUUCGUAAGAAAUUAUGUGAGUGGUAGGGGAGCGUUCCGGGUGCUGUGAAGGCGGCGAGAAAUCGAUCUGCUGGAGCGACCGGAAGUGCGAAUGCCGGUAUGAGUAGCGUACAUGAAGUGAGAAUCUUCAUCUCCGAAUGUUCAAGGUUUCCGCACCCACGUUUGUCGUGUGCGGGUAAGGCGACCCUUAGGCGAGGCCGAAUGGCGUAGCUGAUGGAUAACCAGUUGAUAUUCUGGUCCUUGAUAACAAUCGUUAUGACUUGGGGAGGGACGGAUUUGGAUACUGCGUGCGCUCUGUCGAAGAUAGAGCCGCACAAGCAACGAGAUAAUGUCUGUUGGCAAACCCGCAGAUAUGUUUAAUCGAAUUGUGAUGUGGAGUCUGUUCCGCAAGGAACGGGCAAGACGCAGGACUUCAGGUUCCUAGAAAAGCUUCGCAAGCAGAGUGUUAUUAAAUCGUACCGAUAACCGACACAGGUGAACUGGCCGAGAAGGCUAAGGAGAACGAGAGACAAUGGUUUAAGGAAUUCGGCAAAACAGCUGGGCGUACCCUUGGUAUAUGCCCUUCUCUCCGCAAGGAGAGGCGCAGCGAAAGACUGGAGACUGACUGUUUAACAAAAACACAGGUCCGUGCAAACUCGAAAGAGGACGUAUACGGGCUGAAACCUGCCCAGUGCCGGAAGGUUAACUGCGAGAGUGGUACCCGCAAGGG
This 1893-nucleotide ribosomal RNA is filed under the name Microgenomates group bacterium GW2011_GWB1_45_17. Its description in RNAcentral is "bacterial LSU rRNA". It matches the Rfam family "Bacterial large subunit ribosomal RNA", at positions 15 to 1901 of the family's 2925-position model. The record is from RNAcentral.